This 250-nucleotide ribosomal RNA is filed under the name uncultured Lactobacillus sp. RNAcentral describes it as "partial 16S ribosomal RNA". It matches the Rfam family "Bacterial small subunit ribosomal RNA", at positions 112 to 354 of the family's 1533-position model. Lineage: Bacteria; Bacillati; Bacillota; Bacilli; Lactobacillales; Lactobacillaceae. The record is from RNAcentral.
AACACGUGGGGAACCUGCCCCAUAGUCUGGGAUACCACUUGGAAACAGGUGCUAAUACCGGAUAAGAAAGCGGAUCGCAUGAUCAGCUUUAAAAGGCGGCGUAAGCUGUCGCUAUGGGAUGGCCCCGCGGUGCAUUAGCUAGUUGGUAAGGUAAAGGCUUACCAAGGCGAUGAUGCAUAGCCGAGUUGAGAGACUGAUCGGCCACAUUGGGAUUGAGACACGGCCCAAACUCCUACGGGAGGCAGCAGAC